AUGAGGGAGGGAGCGGCACAGGGAGUUUUCAUUCCAGAGGAAAUAAUCCAGACCAAGAACAAGCAGAUCAAACUAUGCAGCUCUGUGGCUGCCAAAUUGUGGUUUUUGACAGAUCUCUGCAUCAGGGAAGAUUACUCCCAAAAAGAGAUCUUGUGAGCUUUGAAGGCGAAACAUUGUGAGGAGGAACUGGACUUCAGGGCUGUGGUGACCAAUGAGGUGGUGCUGACAGUUGAACAAGGAGACCUGGGUCUGCAGAUGAGUGGUGAACUCUUCUCUGCCUCCUUCCAGGUGGUGGUGGUUGGGAGAGUCCCCACCCCUCCGAUGCAGAAGGACAGUGACAUCACUGCUGCUGUGUCAUCUGGAGAAGAUGGGCUGUCAAUUGAUGAACCAACCUCAAGCCAACCUGAAUUGUGUUAAUAAAUUUUGGACAUUUCAAGAGUUAGCUGGCCACGGUGUUCCUCUGUCAGGUACUUUCUCUUAUGGUGGCCAUGACAAUUUUGCUAAAAUGAUUGGUGAAGUAAAAGUACUAGAAUUCCCAAUGGUAGUAAAGAAUACACGGGGUCAUAGAGGCAAGCACCAUUUGGCUGAUGUAAGCCAUCUUAUUCACCAUGAAGCUCCAUACCUGUUUCAGAAGUAUGUGAAGGAAUCUCACGGACGGGAUGUGCGUGUCAUUGUCGUGGGAGGCCGUGUAGUUGGCACCAUGUUACGCUGUUCCACAGAUGGGCGGAUGCAGAGCAACUGCUCACUAGGCAGUGUGGGGAUGAUGUGCUCAUUGAGUGAACAAGGAAAGCAGCUGGCUAUCCAGGUGUCUAACAUUCUGGGAAUGGAUGUGUGCGGCAUUGACCUAUUGAUGAAAGAUGACAGCUCCUUCUGUGUCUGCGAGGCCAAUGCAAAUGUAGGUUUCAUCGCCUUUGAUAAGGCUUGUAAUCUAGAUGUAGCUGGUAUCAUAGCGGACUAUGCCGCCUCCCUUCUGCCCUCUGGCCGGCUCACCCGGCGCAUGUCCCUGCUCUCCGUGGUGUCCACGGCCAGUGAGACUAGUGAGCCGGAGCUGGGUCCCCCUGCCAGCACUGCUGUCGACAACAUGAGCGCAAGUUCCAGCUCUGUCGACAGUGACCCUGAAAGCACGGAGCGAGAGCUGCUCACCAAGCUCCCAGGGGGCCUGUUCAACAUGAACCAGCUGCUAGCCAGUGAGAUCAAACUCCUGGUGGAGUGACUCCACCAGCCAAUAACUAACCAACAAAACCCUUGUAAAAUUUUCUUUUCAGUUCUUUUUUUCUUUUUUAACCAACUUGCAAUGCUGUUCAUGUAAGAUGCUUAGGAGGAUGAGAGAAAAUGUGUAAGAUUAUUUGGAGAGAAAAGGGGAAAUAAAUGAGACCUCUGCUGGUAACAUAUGCUGACUUUCAUUUGCAGACACUAC
Octodon degus (degu) is the source of this 1417-nucleotide RNA transcript. It is a transcript of the gene named beta-citrylglutamate synthase B pseudogene, with no coding region annotated. The transcript is spliced from 2 exons. Lineage: Eukaryota; Metazoa; Chordata; Mammalia; Rodentia; Octodontidae. The record is from RefSeq and is a predicted model, not a curated record.